AUCCUAGAUAGUCAAGGCCACUCAUAGGAAGCUGGAAAUCAUGUAUGAAGAUAGCGAUGGAAGACCAACUGGUCCUAAUGCUAGUCUAUUCCUAUCUGAGAUAGGAUCUGGUGUGAGAAUAUUUGCACCUCUCCAAAAGAUCUUUUAAAAAGACGUGUCUGAAUUUGAAAAAUCCCCUAUUUAUGACAAAGUGGAGGAUAAUGAAACUGGACGACAAGACAAAAUUCAGCUAUGGAAGAACACACAUUACAAGGAUACAAAAGGCUGGAUCCAUCCUGUGGUUGAGGAGAAACAUAAAGAGAUGGUAGACAUACAAACAACACAACAGGCACAUAUUGUGGGAGAGGAGAGUGAGAUCCAAGGAGCAUAGCUCACUGCUAAUGACAUUUCGACUCAGGUCCUUAGAGCUACUU
Olea europaea var. sylvestris is the source of this 413-nucleotide long non-coding RNA. RefSeq lists it as uncharacterized. The transcript is spliced from 3 exons. The record is from RefSeq and is a predicted model, not a curated record. NCBI's taxonomy places the organism in Eukaryota, Viridiplantae, Streptophyta, Magnoliopsida, Lamiales, Oleaceae.